UUCCUCUCAUGCUGUGUGGACAGGCCAUCCAAAUGAGCCAGGAAAUCCCCCCCAGUCCACCCACAAGAAGCUGAGAUUCUACACAGGAAACCCAGAAUAUCCACACACAGAAGACAGCAUAAUCUACACAUAUGCCAAAGGACACACCCACCCAAGCUAAGAUGCAUCUCUGGAGAAUCAGUAAUGGUCCAACAUGGAAUACUUUCUUGGCAAAAUAUAUGUGCUUUGCAGAAGACCAUGAUCAUGUAUAAAACCGUGCUUGACUGAACAAUGAGCUAUGGCUUCUGUCUGGAUAAAUAUCUUGAUUCAUUUUUCAUCCCAAUGAUUAUGAUAAUUAUUCUUUGUGACUGCUUCACUGGACACAUCGUUUAGAAUUGUAAUACAAGCCGGGCAGUGGUGGCGCACGCCUUUAAUCCCAGCACUCGGGAGGCAGAGGCAGGCGGAUCUCUGUGAGUUCAAG
Arvicola amphibius (Eurasian water vole) is the source of this 460-nucleotide long non-coding RNA. RefSeq lists it as uncharacterized. The transcript is spliced from 3 exons. The record is from RefSeq and is a predicted model, not a curated record. NCBI's taxonomy places the organism in Eukaryota, Metazoa, Chordata, Mammalia, Rodentia, Cricetidae.